UACGUAGGGUGCAAGCGUUGUCCGGAAUUAUUGGGCGUAAAGAGCGUGUAGGCGGCCAGGUAGGUCUGCUGUGAAAACUCGAGGCUUAACCUCGAGAUGUCAUCGGAAACCAUUUGGCUAGAGUCCGGAAGAGGAGAGUGGAAUUCCUGGUGUAGCGGUGAAAUGCGCAGAUAUCAGGAAGAACACCAAUGGCGAAAGCAGCUCUCUGGGACGGUACUGACGCUGAGACGCGAAAGCGUGGGGAGCGAACAGG
This 253-nucleotide ribosomal RNA is filed under the name uncultured bacterium. RNAcentral describes it as "partial 16S ribosomal RNA". It matches the Rfam family "Bacterial small subunit ribosomal RNA", at positions 524 to 776 of the family's 1533-position model. The record is from RNAcentral.